CAUUAGACAUUGAAGAGAAGAGUAACGUUAACGCAUUCCUAAAGAGAGCUUCGUUUGGUGAGAGAAGUGGUUUGCAGCGACGUGAAGAUGAGCUCUGAGUCAGAUAUCCGGUCAAAAGGCUAGGAUAUCCGCGAGUCCGCGAUAUUGGACCGGGUAUUCCAAGGAGUACUUAUUAAGGCUGUCAUUGUGAGGUGACAGUAAAUCAGGGUGGCAUCGCGAAGCUUUCGUCCCGUAG
Molecule: non-coding RNA, 235 nt
Filed under: Lentilactobacillus buchneri
Lineage: Bacteria; Bacillati; Bacillota; Bacilli; Lactobacillales; Lactobacillaceae
Description: Lactobacillus buchneri T-box sequence
Rfam family: T-box leader
About the family: Uncharged tRNA acts as the effector for transcription antitermination of genes in the T-box leader family. T-boxes are found upstream of many aminoacyl-tRNA synthetase genes and some amino acid biosynthetic genes usually in Gram-positive bacteria.
Source: RNAcentral